GAAAGCUUCUUUGGUAGGUGAGGUUGUGAAUGUUAGUGAGAUUGUCGAGAAUCUUAUUGAGGAUAUUGUGUAUAAGAUGAUAUUGGGUAGAGGUAAGUAUGAGCAAUUUGACUUGAAGAAGAUGAUUAAAGAUGGAUUAACUUUGAUGGGAGCUUUUAAUCUGGCUGAUUAUGUUCCUUGGCUAGGCAUUUUUGACCUUCAGGUACAUUUGUACUAUUUAUUACUACUAUCUCGUUAAAUAUAAGAUCAUUUUGUGUUUUUUCUGUCGCUUUUUAUAAGAACCCUUUCAAAUUUUAAUGUAGAUUAAUUAUUUCUUUAUCAAUAUAUCCUUAUUUAUGUUGCAUAUUUUUAUACAAUAUAUAAUAAAUAUUCUACGAAAACAUCAGCUAAUUUCUUUCAUAAAGGAUAAAUAUGUAAAACAAUAUAAAUUGUAAACAAAAUUAAUUCAACAAUUAAUUUUCUUAAUUCCUGUGUUUUUCACGAAAUGGUUCUAUAAUUAAGGACGGAGGUAGUAUUUAUAAGAAAGAAAGAUAUUGAAUAUUAACAUACAUUUAUUUUAGUCUGAUGAUUUUGGCUUGGGAUCCGGGAGUAUGCACCUCCUCGAGGUCUCAGGUUCGACUCUCUCUGAUGCCAAUUUAAGUGGGUUAAUUUAACUUCUUCAAAAAAACAUAUGUUUAUUUUUAACACACUUAGAUUGGCCUGAUGGUAUUGGCUUGAGAUCCGGAAGUGUGCUGUUUCAUAAAUAGAGUGUUCUUCAAAACAAAACAAAAAACUCAUAAAUAGAGUGAUUGAGUGAUUUUGGUCACUCAAUAUUUAAUAGUUCGGUAUUGGUCCUUUAGUGUUUUUCCCUCUAUGGCUUUAAAAGGGUUACCUGAUUUUAUCUCAAUUGCCCUUCACUUUUAUAUAUGAAAUUGGAAACUGGGUCAAAUUUCACAAUAUCAAAAUAUUUUAGGUACUAGAAGUAAGAGAAAUUUGAAAACAAGUUAGAUAAUCCCUUUACUAUACACAAGGGAAAAUUGAAUUAACUCUACAAAAAAAAUGAGUUAACUCUUAAAUAUUUUCCAUUCGGUUAAAUAUUUCAGUUAUCCAUUUCAUCCUCAAUUUACUUAUGUUUUUACGGUUUUGUUAAUAACAACAAUCAAGUCUUAUCCGACUGAGUAAGAUCAACUAUAUAGAUCAAAUUACCCCAUAAUAGGUUAUCAUAAACGUGGGUUUGUUAAGUUCAAUGAAAAUAUUCAUGUAGUAACUGAUAUUAUUAGUUAACUUUUUGAUAGGGAUUAACACAAGCUUGCAAAAAAACCAGUAAAGCUCUUGAUGAAGUUUUGGAGAUGAUAAUAACAGAGCAUGAACAAACUACUAAUACAGACGAUCCUAAAGAUUUUGUAGACACAGUUCUUUCAAUUAUGCACCAAACCAUUGAUGUUGAGGGUGGACAAGAUCUCGUCAUUGAUCGAACGAUCAUCAAGGCUAUUUUGCUCGACAUGAUAGGGGCAUCAAUUGAUACAUCUUCAAACGUGAUAGAGUGGGCUUUAUCUGAACUUUUAAGGCAUCCAAGAGUGAUGAAAAUUCUUCAAGAUGAAAUACAAAAUGAAGUAGGAAAUAAGAGAAUGGUUGAAGAAAAGGAUUUGAAGAAUUUUAAUUACCUAGAUAUGGUGGUUGAUGAAACCUUAAGACUUUAUCCUGUUGCACCUUUAUUAAUCCCUCGUGAAUGUAGAGAGAACAUAACAAUUGAUGAUUAUUCUAUAAAAGAAAAGACACGAGUUAUAGUAAAUGCAUGGGCAAUUGGGAGAGAUCCUGAUGUUUGGUCAGAAAAUGCUGAAGAAUUUUACCCAGAGAGAUUUAUUGAGAAAAAAAUGAAUUAUCUCGGACAAGAGUUUGAAUCUAUACCAUUUGGUUCUGGUCGUAGACGUUGUCCUGGAAUUCAAUUGGGUAUGAUUACGGUUAAGUUGGUUAUAGCUCAAUUCGUGCAUUGCUUUAACUGGGAACUUCCACAUAAUAUUAGUCCUUCCAAUUUGAAUAUGGAGGAGAAAUUUGGACUCACUAUACCAAGAGCUCAGCAUUUGCACGCAAUACCAAGUUAUCGUUUGGAUGAUGCUAAGCUUGAAUAGUUCCAAGAAUAAUUACUAUGUUCGUGUUCAUCAAGUAUAUAAUUGGUAAAGAUGCUUAGGAGGUCUAUUAAUGAUGUUUUAAUGUAUAUUGCUUGUUCUUUAUAUAUGUUUGAUAGCCAACAUUUGAGUCUUCAUUGGGACAUGGAGGUCAAUAAAAUCACAUACCUUCAUGAUCAAUGGUAUGGUGCAAGUCUAUAGUACAAAUCUCCUUCAUCUCUACCCUAUCUCUUUCUUUUACUCAGUAUUUGUUUCAAUUCUCUGUUAUUAUUAUUACUAGGGUUGUUCGCGGUGCGGUUUGGUUCGGUUUCAAGCAUAAUAAUAAUCCAAACCGCGAGAGAAAAAAGCAUGCGGUUUGGUUUGGUUCGGUUGUUUUUUAAAAAGUCAUCCAAACCAAACCAAUGCGGUUUGGAUUGGUUCAGUUGAUGCGGUUAAUCACGAGAUAAAUAAAAAAAUUACAUUAACUUAAUAUUGCCAACUAGUACCAAGCAAUUUUAAUUAUUCAAAAAAAGAAUUUGAAGUUCCAAAAUAGCAUUACAAUACCAAUAAAAGUUAUUUAUCUAAAAUAACAUUACAGAACCAAAAUAAUAGCUGGAUAGUGUUGGGCUUGGACUUGGGUUCACUUUGGUAUUGGGCUAGUACAAUACUUACUUAGUUUAAUAACAUUGAGUAUUUUUGCGGUUUGGUUUGGUUUGGUUCGGUUGCUGAGAUGUAAACCGCAAACCGAACCGAACCGCGCGGUUCAGUCUAAAAAUCAUCCGAACUCAUCCGAACCAAGUGCGGUUUUUUGCGGUUUCAGUUUGGGUUGGUUCGGUUUGCGGUUUUUCUAUUGGGUUGGUUCGGUUUUGAACACCCCUAAUUAUUACUGAUUUUAAAAUUGGUAUGGCACACUUUAGAAAUGAGGUAGACCUGAAGUUCUAAAGUUUUUUUAACACAACAUAUCACACAUGACAACUUAAUAACUAGAAUACUGCUCCAUUAAGAUUGGAGAACAACAUAUAAAAGAUGUAAAUACUUAUUAUUCCUCUAUGGUUUUCCACAAUGUACAUGUAUAAUAUACUGCACAUUAACUAUUAUUUGAUUCAAAAAGUAUUAAAGUAUGUUUAUAUUUUUAUUUGUAUUAUGUAUUGAUAUCAAAAUAAUGAAUAUCAUUCAAAAAAAAAAAAAAAAUCAAAAUAAUGAAUAUGGGUGGCAUUUAGGGUGGGAAGGGGAAAGAUUUUCCCACCAUAGGUCAGUUGACAUUUUACCGUUAAAUUAAAAAGGAAUACUGAUUUUAUUAUGGACUGUCUACACCCUAUCUUUUCCCACCCACCUUUCUCUCUCCUCCUUGCUCUCCACCACCCGCAACAUCACCUACAGCCACUAUCACCACCGGUUCCUUCCAUUCUCGUCCAAAGCAAGCUUCAGAUCCGACGCACCUAGCUCAAUCUCUCUUUUCCAGUUUCUCUUAAUCAUUCAAUCGCCCCAUUUAUAUCCCCCCUUCGUAAAAAAUUCCAUGAUGUGAUAAUCCAAAUAUGGGCUAUAAUAUUACUGUAAUAUUUAUUGUUUGCUACUUAAUUUUAGUUCAAUGGGUCACUACAUAUAUAUUAAUUAUCGAUUCUUACAGGUUUGAUUGAAGCCUAUGAAGAUUGAUUUUUAACUUUUUUUAGAUUGCAACUCAUGAAGAUUGAUUUUGAUAAUUGGUUCCAUAAAAAGCAUGUUUCUUAAUUGUAAGCACGUGAAGAUUUUUGGGUUGUAGUUUCAUGGUGGCUGGUGGUGGUGGGUGAGUGGGGGUAUGGAGGAGAGAGAAGAAUGGUGAGGUGAGUGAGGUUGGAGACAGAUUGAAAAAAUAUAGUGUGGGUAGACCAUAGUAUGAUUAGUGUUCCUAUUUGAUCUAAUGGUCAAAAUCAACUUUUUUAUGGUAGGAAACUCUUUCCCUUACCCACCCUAAAUGCCACCAUGAAUAUGAGAGAGUUUUGUGUAACUUUUUUGCAUGUGUUGUUUUCUGACUCUAGAUUUGGAUAACAAAACAAUCAAGUCUUUUGUUCUCUUUCUCUAUUAUAGAUCUACUUUCUCUCUCUCUCUAUGAUUCCCGUGCUAUACUAGAUCUGACAACUGAACUCUUGCGACUCAAUAAUUUCUUUCUUCAAUAUGAACUUUAAGACCAAAUUUAGUUUCUAAAUCUUAAAAAAUUUAAUCAUAAACAAUAACAUUUUAGUACAUAAAUUAAUUUCCAAAACCUGAUCUUUCUCCUGUAGACCAAAUAUAUUGUCUAUCCUGUUUCAUGUUUGUAAAUUGUAACAAGUUAAUUUUUUUUUUUUUAAGUUGUAACAUUCUAGUCAAAUACCUCACUGGAUCUUCUAAGUUUUACGUUUGUUUCAGAUAGGUCCUUUAAGUUUUUAAGGUUUUAGAUAUGUCAUUUAAGUUUCGAGUUUGUUUCAGAUAUGUCUUUUAAGUUUCUAAGGUUUCAGAUAGGUCCUUUAAAUUUCGAAUUUAUUUCAGAUAGAUCAUUUCUAUCGAAUCAACUUUAAAAAAUUAACUUAUUAUAAACAACCAACUUAAAAAUCGCUAGAAGUAUUUGACCUUUCCAUAACCAAAAUCUAAAAAACAAAUGUGGUAUUUUUCCUAUAAGACCACUUUCAAAAUCACUCAUGCUGCUGUAUUACUCGAGAUAAGAUUUAAAUUGCAAAUGUAAAUAUUAAAAAGAGGGUUAAUUAAAUUUUUAGUCCCUUUUUUUUUUUUAAAAAAAAAAAAGAAUUUUUAGUCUCUAUAAAUAUUCACAGUUUUGUUUUUAGUCUAUACAAAAUAAAAUCACACUUUUUAGUCAAUGUGACAUUUUAAGGACUAAAAAUGCUGAUGAAAUUUUUUUAUAUAGACGAAAAAUGCUAAUGAAAAAUUUUAUAGAGACUAAAAAUAUUGAUGGAAAAUUUUAUAGGGACUAAAAAAUGUGAUUUUACUUUGUAGGGACUAAAAACAAAAUUAUGAAUAUUUAUAAGGACCAUUUACUUAUUAACCCUUAAAAAGAUGAAUGUUAUUUGAACAACCGUUUGGUUGACAACUUUUGGAACAACUAUAAUUUACAAAGAAAAAGUAGGUAUGUGAACGAAAACCAUAGUAGAAAGAUAAAGUAAAGAAUAACGUAAGUAUGAUUGAGAAAGUUGUCAAAAAAAUUAUUAAAAAAUGGAUGUUCUAAUAUCAUUCCUCUAUUAAAAAACGUUACUAUUUGAUCACAUUAUUAGUAAGUUAUCUUGCUCAGCUAGUAAAUUAUUAUACCGAUGGAGUUUUCACGGUGAAUCAAAUUACACAGUGCUUUGAAAACGAGGAGGAUAACAUCCUUCUUUUACUUUUUAAAUUGACAAGCAUGCACAACGAGAUGGAUAAAAGAAUAUUAAAAUAAUGGUAAAUCAUAUCCAACGUGUGCAUGUACAUUGUCGGUUGUAACAAAUCGACGUUCAUAAAAUGUACGUGCAUAGUUGAUCAUUUAAAAAAAAAAAAAUAUUUGAAUGAUGUUUUUCAUAUUUGCAAUUAGGUGUCAUUUAAAAAUUAGUUCAUAUAAUUGCUAAUCCUGACAAUUUACAUUUGCAUUAUUUAAUCAUUUAAAAUUUUAUCUUUUGACCAACUUAAUCACAAAUUAGCAAAAUGAUACGGAAAUGGACAAAUAUACCCUCGUCGUUAUUAUGAGAAGAAGACUAAGACAAGGGUAGAAAUACAUAAAUAUCUCCAUAAAUAUCUCACUAGCUAGAUAUACAAACCAAACACGUACACCACCGGUUUCAAGAUAAUCUGAGAUUAACUUGGAGUUCUAUAUAGUCUUCAACCUUGUUACGUACUUCAGCCAAACCAAAGCAUUCAUUGUAGACAUGUCUUUUGCACUAACAACAACAAUGUUUGCUUUUCUUCUCUUCACUUUCAUGUACUUUCUAUUCAAACUCUACUUACAUCCAAAACAAAAAACCCUAAACCAUAAAAAACCACCAGGUCCAUCAACACUACCAAUAAUUGGAAAUCUUCACAUAUUAGGCAAACUUCCACAUAGAACACUUCAAUCACUCUCCAAAAAAUAUGGUCCAAUCAUGUCCUUACAACUUGGUCAAGUUCCAACUAUUAUCAUUUCAUCUUCAAAAGCUGCAGAAUCAUUCCUCAAAACUCAUGACAUCGUUUUUGCAAGUCGACCAAAGGUUCAAGGAUCAGAUCUCAUGUCUUAUGGUUCCAAAGGGAUGGCUUUUUCUGAGUAUGGUCCUUAUUGGCGUAGUGUGAGGAAAUUUUGCACUUUGAAACUUUUUAGUGCUUCAAAAGUUGAGAUGUUUGGUCCUAUUAGGAAGGAGAAGUUGGAUGUUUUGGUUAUAUCUUUGGAGAAAGCUGCCUUGGAGGGUGAGGUUGUGAAUGUUAGUGAGGUUGUAGAGAAUCUUAUUGAGGAUAUUGUGUAUAAGAUGAUGUUUGGUCGGAGUAAGUAUGAGCAAUUUGACAUGAAUAAGUUAGUUCUAGAAGCAAUGGCUUUGAUGGGAGCUUUUAAUCUGGCUGAUUAUGUACCUUGGCUAGGCGUUUUUGACCUUCAGGUACGUCUUGACAAUUUCAUAUUAAAAAUUCUAAUUAAUUUUAUGAGAUUAUUUGAUUAUAUGGAAAAGAGGUUAACAUUGGCGC
RNAcentral lists this long non-coding RNA (6725 nucleotides) under Medicago truncatula (barrel medic). RNAcentral describes it as "long non-coding RNA (MTRU_LNC003456)". The record is from RNAcentral. Lineage: Eukaryota; Viridiplantae; Streptophyta; Magnoliopsida; Fabales; Fabaceae.